UACGGAGGGGGCGAGCGUUAUUCGGAAUUACUGGGCGUAAAGCGCGUGUAGGCGGCAGGGCAAGUCUGGUGUGAAAGCCCGGGGCUCAACCCCGGAAGUGCAUUGGAAACUGCUCUGCUUGAGUACCGGAGAGGAAGGGGGAAUUCCCGGUGUAGCGGUGAAAUGCGUAGAUAUCGGGAGGAAUACCAGUAGCGAAGGCGGCCAUCUGGCUGGUAACUGACGCUGAGGUGCGAGAGCGUGGGGAGCAAACAGG
Molecule: ribosomal RNA, 253 nt
Filed under: uncultured microorganism
Description: partial 16S ribosomal RNA
Rfam family: Bacterial small subunit ribosomal RNA
Source: RNAcentral